Molecule: ribosomal RNA, 253 nt
Filed under: uncultured bacterium
Lineage: Bacteria
Description: partial 16S ribosomal RNA
Rfam family: Bacterial small subunit ribosomal RNA
Source: RNAcentral
UACGUAGGGGGCAAGCGUUGUCCGGAUUCAUUGGGCGUAAAGAGCGUGUAGGCGGCCAGGUAGGUCGGUUGUGAAAACUGGAGGCUCAACCUUCAGAGGUCGACCGAAACCAUCUGGCUAGAGUCCGGGAGAGGAGAGUGGAAUUCCUGGUGUAGCGGUGAAAUGCGCAGAUAUCAGGAAGAACACCCGUGGCGAAGGCGACUCGCUGGACAGGUAUUGACGCUGAGGUGCGAAAGCGUGGGGAGCAAACAGG